AGUGAACGCUGGCGGUAGGCCUAACACAUGCAAGUCGAACGGCAGCACAGUAAGAGCUUGCUCUUACGGGUGGCGAGUGGCGGACGGGUGAGGAAUACAUCGGAAUCUACUUUUUCGUGGGGGAUAACGUAGGGAAACUUACGCUAAUACCGCAUACGACCUACGGGUGAAAGCAGUGGAUCUUCGGACCUUGCGCGAUUGUAUUAGCCGAUGUCGGAUUAGCUAGUUGGCGGGGUAAAGGCCCACCAAGGCGACGAUCCGUAGCUGGUCUGAGAGGAUGAUCAGCCACACUGGAACUGAGACACGGUCCAGACUCCUACGGGAGGCAGCAGUGGGGAAUAUUGGACAAUGGGCGAAAGCCUGAUCCAGCCAUACCGCGUGGGUGAAGAAGGCCUUCGGGUUGUAAAGCCCUUUUGUUGGGAAAGAAAAGCAGCAGGUUAAUACCCCGCUGUUCUGACGGUACCCAAAGAAUAAGCGCCGGCUAACUUCGUG
Molecule: ribosomal RNA, 492 nt
Filed under: uncultured bacterium
Lineage: Bacteria
Description: partial 16S ribosomal RNA
Rfam family: Bacterial small subunit ribosomal RNA
Source: RNAcentral